RNAcentral lists this long non-coding RNA (1307 nucleotides) under Olea europaea (common olive). Its description in RNAcentral is "long non-coding RNA (OEUR_LNC006004)". Lineage: Eukaryota; Viridiplantae; Streptophyta; Magnoliopsida; Lamiales; Oleaceae. The record is from RNAcentral.
AUGGACCCCCCUUGGGUCCGGCCAUGGAUAACUCCGGUUCAGGAAGUGAUGGAGCUUCCGCUUAUGGGGAUGAUAAUGAAAUAUCAGACGAUCCAUCACCAUCACCAAGGCCAACGCCAACGCCAACGCCAACGCCAUCACCGAGACCAACUGUAAAGAAGUACAUAUCCUCUCUCGACAUGUUAAACAAGAAGCUUUCAUUGUCAAGGAAAUCGUUACGCGUCAAUGCCAACAAACUUCCAGGUUAUCUAUUGACUUUGAAAACUUUUACAUUAGUAUCCAUUAAAUUUUGUUAGGACAGACAGCUAACAGUGAGAUCUUAGCGAAGUACAAAAGCACGUUAUUAAAAAGUUAUCGUCUAAUGUUAACAAGCAUUGAUUCAAGAUUUGCAUAUUCAAAUGUCCAUCAUAUCCCGAGAAUAGGCAUAAAUUAUUUCUGCUAAUGAAAAAGAAUUCUGGUAAGAAAACUGCAGGGACUUGAUGUACUUGAGAAUUAAGAUUAAGUUUACAUGUCUGGCAAGUUAACAAGUUUAGGUUUAUGUCUCUCCAUUUAAAAUUAAGGCCUAACUAUGUUGAUUCAUCUGCGCUAGGCAUAUUCUUUCAAAUUAUACGACUUUUUUCUUUUAUGGGCUUCAUACUCCCACAAGCUCUGAACUCAUUUCAUUCAUUAUUGCUCUCGGGAUUGGGAUUAGGGCUUAAUUUUUAGCAUUUUUCUCACUAGAAACUAAAUAAGGCCUAUUGCUAUACUAACUCGAACCACAUUAUGUUCUAAUAAGUAAGCAAUGGAGCACACAAGUUUCCGAAUAUUUACAAGCAAAAUCAAAACCAGGAAACACAGAAUAACUUUAUUGGAUUUUAAACCUAUUUGGAAGCACAAGAACGUCUUAUGAAUUAACAUUAUUAUCACUGCUGUUUUCGCAGGGACACCAAAGGGAAGAUCAGUAAGGCCUCCACGAAUAACUCCUCGUGGACGCAGUAUGAGAAUGAGUUCUCGAAAACCAUGGAGGACAUCCGGUCAUGUCUCUGAUUCUGAGCUCUCUUAGGAAAUCCGCGAUAAAGUUUGGUGCCCAACCAAGAACAGAGAACCAAACUUCCACACAAUUUUGUUAGUUUCAUCAGAUAAAUAAAAGCAUUUUCUUAUGUAGUGUCUGGUAUAGGUUAGGACAGUUUAGAGAACAGGACUAUGAUUUACAGCAGAAAGGCAAGGACUCAAAAUUAUACAUGAAACAAUCCAAAGGUUUUUGCCUUUUUAACACACUUUAUUCUUAACAAUUUCUUUUGCUUUUUGAAAAAUUUGUACAAUUUUAC